GGAGAGUUGGCAGAGUGGCCGAAUGCACGUCCUUGCUAAGGACGCAACUGGGUAACUGGUUCGAGGGUUCGAAUCCCUCACUCUCCGCCA
Molecule: transfer RNA, 90 nt
Filed under: Pseudomonadota bacterium
Lineage: Bacteria; Pseudomonadati; Pseudomonadota
Description: Proteobacteria bacterium tRNA-Ser
Rfam family: tRNA
About the family: Transfer RNA (tRNA) molecules are approximately 80 nucleotides in length.
Source: RNAcentral